UGGUAGAGCCUCUGCUGCGGCCGCAGUGGUACGUUCGCUGUGGGGAGAUGGCCCAGGCUGCCAGCGCCGCUGUGACUCGGGGUGACCUCCGCAUCCUGCCUGAGGCCCAUCAGCGCACAUGGCAUGCCUGGAUGGACAACAUCCGGGAGUGGUGCAUUUCCAGGCAGCUGUGGUGGGGCCAUCGCAUCCCAGCCUACUUUGUCACUGUCAGUGACCCAGCGGUGCCCCCUGGGGAGGUGAGCAGAGGGCCAGAGCUAGCUGCUGGGACACCCUGCGGGAGCGGACCCUGAUGGGCGGUACUGGGUGAGCGGACGCAAUGAGGCGGAGGCCCAGGAGAAGGCAGCCAAGGAGUUCGGAGUGUCCCCUGACAAGAUCAGUCUCCAGCAAGAUGAGGAUGUAUUGGAUACCUGGUUCUCCUCCGGCCUCUUCCCUUUAUCCAUUUUGGGCUGG
Molecule: small RNA, 450 nt
Filed under: Pongo abelii (Sumatran orangutan)
Lineage: Eukaryota; Metazoa; Chordata; Mammalia; Primates; Hominidae
Description: processed transcript
Source: RNAcentral